GACUUUGACCAUACCACCCUGAUACCAGAAGCUAAGCAGGGUCAGACCUGGGCAGUACUGGGAUGGGAGACCAACUAGGAAUACCGGAUGCUGUAGAAU
This 99-nucleotide ribosomal RNA is filed under the name Chlorocebus sabaeus (green monkey). The record is from RNAcentral. Lineage: Eukaryota; Metazoa; Chordata; Mammalia; Primates; Cercopithecidae.